GCUCCCAUGGCGCAGUGGUAGCGCUUUGUACUUAUGUGGAUACAUUGUGUAUUGCAUGAUUAUGCAAUGGUCGUGAGUUCGAUCCUCACUGGGAGCA
Molecule: transfer RNA, 97 nt
Organism: Punctularia strigosozonata HHB-11173 SS5
Lineage: Eukaryota; Fungi; Basidiomycota; Agaricomycetes; Corticiales; Punctulariaceae
Rfam family: tRNA
About the family: Transfer RNA (tRNA) molecules are approximately 80 nucleotides in length. Their secondary structure includes four short double-helical elements and three loops (D, anti-codon, and T loops).
Source: Rfam